This 406-nucleotide ribosomal RNA is filed under the name uncultured bacterium. RNAcentral describes it as "partial 16S ribosomal RNA". It matches the Rfam family "Bacterial small subunit ribosomal RNA", at positions 30 to 526 of the family's 1533-position model. The record is from RNAcentral.
AUUGAACGCUGGCGGCAGGCCUAACACAUGCAAGUCGAACGAGUGGCGGACGGGUGAGUAAUGUCUGGGAAACUGCCCGAUGGAGGGGGAUAAAUACUGGAAACGGUAGCUAAUACCGCAUACCAACGGAUGUGCCCAGAUGGGCUUAGCUAGUAGGUGGGGUAACGGCUCACCUAGGCGACGAUCCCUAGCUGGUCUGAGAGGAUGACCAGCCACCCUGGAACAGAGACACGGUCCAUCCUCCUCCGGUAGGCAGCAGUGGGGAAUAUUGCACAAUGGGCGCAAUCCGGAUGCAGCCCUGCCGCGUGUAUGAAGAAGGCCUUCGGGUUUUAAAGUACUUUCAGCGAGGAGGCGUUACUCGCAGAAGAAGCACCGGCUAACUCCGUGCCAGCAGCCGCGGUAAUAC